UACGAAGGGGGCUAGCGUUGCUCGGAAUCACUGGGCGUAAAGCGUGCGCAGGCGGUUUUGUAAGCCAGAUGUGAAAUCCCCGGGCUUAACCUGGGAAUGGCAUUUGGGACUGCAAGGCUCGAGUGCGGCAGAGGAGACUGGAAUUCCUGGUGUAGCAGUGAAAUGCGUAGAUAUCAGGAGGAACACCGAUGGCGAAGGCAGGUCUCUGGGCUGACACUGACGCUCAUGCACGAAAGCGUGGGGAGCAAACAGG
RNAcentral lists this ribosomal RNA (253 nucleotides) under uncultured bacterium. Its description in RNAcentral is "partial 16S ribosomal RNA". It matches the Rfam family "Bacterial small subunit ribosomal RNA", at positions 524 to 776 of the family's 1533-position model. The record is from RNAcentral.